Molecule: transfer RNA, 74 nt
Filed under: bacterium
Lineage: Bacteria
Description: tRNA-Arg
Rfam family: tRNA
About the family: Transfer RNA (tRNA) molecules are approximately 80 nucleotides in length. Their secondary structure includes four short double-helical elements and three loops (D, anti-codon, and T loops). Further hydrogen bonds mediate the characteristic L-shaped molecular structure. tRNAs have two regions of fundamental functional importance: the anti-codon, which is responsible for specific mRNA codon recognition, and the 3' end, to which the tRNAs corresponding amino acid is attached (by aminoacyl-tRNA synthetases). tRNAs cope with the degeneracy of the genetic code in two manners: having more than one tRNA (with a specific anti-codon) for a particular amino acid; and 'wobble' base-pairing, i.e. permitting non-standard base-pairing at the 3rd anti-codon position.
Source: RNAcentral
GUGCCCGUAGCUCAAUUGGAUAGAGCGUCUGCUUCCGAAGCAGAAGGUUGGCGGUUCAAGCCCGCCCGGGCACA